RNAcentral lists this ribosomal RNA (253 nucleotides) under Pseudocoprococcus catus. RNAcentral's name for it is "Coprococcus catus partial 16S ribosomal RNA". It matches the Rfam family "Bacterial small subunit ribosomal RNA", at positions 524 to 776 of the family's 1533-position model. Lineage: Bacteria; Bacillati; Bacillota; Clostridia; Lachnospirales; Lachnospiraceae. The record is from RNAcentral.
UACGUAGCGGGCAAGCGUUAUCCGGAUUUACUGGGUGUAAAGGGAGCGUAGGCGGCGGAGCAAGUCAGAAGUGAAAGCCCGGGGCUCAACCCCGGGACGGCUUUUGAAACUGCCCUGCUUGAUUUCAGGAGAGGUAAGCGGAAUUCCUAGUGUAGCGGUGAAAUGCGUAGAUAUUAGGAGGAACACCAGUGGCGAAGGCGGCUUACUGGACUGACAAUGACGCUGAGGCUCGAAAGCGUGGGGAGCAAACAGG